This 256-nucleotide ribosomal RNA is filed under the name uncultured bacterium. RNAcentral's name for it is "partial 16S ribosomal RNA". It matches the Rfam family "Bacterial small subunit ribosomal RNA", at positions 524 to 776 of the family's 1533-position model. The record is from RNAcentral.
GACGUAGGUGGCGAACGUUAUCCGGAAUUAUUGGGCGUAAAGGGUGCGUAGGCGGCAUGAUAAGUUAUUGGCGGCAAAUCGAGGCUCAACCUCGUGGAAACUGAUAAUACUGUCUUGCUUGAGUGCAGAAGAGGUUAACGGAACUCCAUGUGGAGCGGUAAAAUGUGUAGAUAUAUGGAAGAACAUCAAUAACGGCGAAGGCAGUUAACUAUUCUGUUACUGACGUUGAGGCACGAAAGCGUGGGGAGCAAAACGG